GAUGAAGAACGCAGCGAAAUGCGAUAAGUAGUGUGAAUUGCAGAAUUCAGUGAAUCAUCGAAUCUUUGAACGCACAUUGCGCCCUUUGGUAUUCCAAAGGGCAUGCCUGUUCGAGCGUCAUUUGUACCCUCAAGCUUUGCUUGGUGUUGGGCGUCUUGUCUCUAGCUUUGCUGGAGACUCGCCUUAAAGUAAUUGGCAGCCGGCCUACUGGUUUCGGAGCGCAGCACAAGUCACACUCUCUAUCAGCAAAGGUCUAGCAUCCAUUAAGCCUUUUUUUCAACUUUUGACCUCGGAUCAGGUAGGGAUACCCGCUGAACUUAAGCAUAUCAAUAAGCGGAGGA
This 341-nucleotide unclassified non-coding RNA is filed under the name soil metagenome. RNAcentral's name for it is "partial contains 5.8S ribosomal RNA, internal transcribed spacer 2, and large subunit ribosomal RNA". The stretch from base 1 to 120 matches the Rfam family "5.8S ribosomal RNA", at positions 35 to 154 of the family's 154-position model. The record is from RNAcentral.